Long non-coding RNA from Oncorhynchus tshawytscha (Chinook salmon), 355 nucleotides. The record is from Ensembl. Lineage: Eukaryota; Metazoa; Chordata; Actinopteri; Salmoniformes; Salmonidae.
GUUCAGGGUUAGGGUGGUGGUUGGGGUUAGGGUGGUGGUUAAGGGUUAGGGUGGUGGUUAAGGGUUAGGGUGGUGGUUAAGGGUUAGGGUGGUGGUUAAGGGUUAGGGUGGUGGUUAAGGUUUAGGGUGGUGGUUAAGGUUUAGGGUGGUGGUUAAGGGCUAGGGUGGUGGUUAAGGGUUAGGGUGGUGGCUAAGGGUUAGGGUUAGGGUGGUGGUUAAGGGUUAGGGUGGUGGUUAAGGGUUAGGGUGGUGGUUAAGGGUUAGGGUGGUGGUUAAGGGUUAGGGUGGUGGUUAAGGGUUAGGGCUAGGGUGGUGGUUAAGGGUUAGGGUUAGGGUGGUGGUUAAGGGUUAGGGU